RNAcentral lists this ribosomal RNA (257 nucleotides) under uncultured Segniliparus sp. Its description in RNAcentral is "partial 16S ribosomal RNA". It matches the Rfam family "Bacterial small subunit ribosomal RNA", at positions 97 to 355 of the family's 1533-position model. Lineage: Bacteria; Bacillati; Actinomycetota; Actinomycetes; Mycobacteriales; Segniliparaceae. The record is from RNAcentral.
GGCGAACGGCUGAGUAACACGUGGGCAAUCUGCCCUGCACUCUGGGAUAAGCCUGGGAAACUGGGUCUAAUACUGGAUAGGACCUUUCUCCUCAUGGGGUUUGGUGGAAAGUUUUUCGGUGCAGGAUGAGCCCGCGGCCUAUCAGCUUGUUGGUGGGGUAAUGGCCUACCAAGGCGACGACGGGUAGCCGGCCUGAGAGGGUGAUCGGCCACAUUGGGACUGAGAUACGGCCCAGACUCCUACGGGAGGCAGCAGCC